This 808-nucleotide ribosomal RNA is filed under the name uncultured bacterium. RNAcentral's name for it is "bacterial SSU rRNA". It matches the Rfam family "Bacterial small subunit ribosomal RNA", at positions 1 to 806 of the family's 1533-position model. The record is from RNAcentral.
CCUUAGAGUUUGAUCCUGGCUCAGGAUGAACGCUAGCUACAGGCUUAACACAUGCAAGUCGAGGGGCAGCAUGACCUAGCAAUAGGUUGAUGGCGACCGGCGCACGGGUGAGUAACACGUAUCCAACCUGCCGAUUAUUCCGGGAUAGCCUUUCGAAAGAAAGAUAAAUACCGGAUAGCAUAACGAAAAGGCAUCUUUUUGUUAUUAAAGAAUUUCGAUAACCGAUGGGGAUGCGUUCCAUUAGUUUGUUGGCGGGGUAACGGCCCACCAAGACAUCGAUGGAUAGGGGUUCUGAGAGGAAGGUCCCCCACAUUGGAACUGAGACACGGUCCAAACUCCUACGGGAGGCAGCAGUGAGGAAUAUUGGUCAAUGGACGAGAGUCUGAACCAGCCAAGUAGCGUGAAGGAUGACUGCCCUAUGGGUUGUAAACUUCUUUUAUAUGGGAAUAAAGUGAGCCACGUGUGGCUUUUUGUAUGUACCAUACGAAUAAGGAUCGGCUAACUCCGUGCCAGCAGCCGCGGUAAUACGGAGGAUCCGAGCGUUAUCCGGAUUUAUUGGGUUUAAAGGGAGCGUAGGCGGAAGCUUAAGUCAGUUGUGAAAGUUUGCGGCUCAACCGUAAAAUUGCAGUUGAUACUGGGUUUCUUGAGUGCAGUAGAGGUAGGCGGAAUUCGUGGUGUAGCGGUGAAAUGCUUAGAUAUCACGAAGAACUCCGAUUGCGAAGGCAGCUUACUGGACUGUAACUGACGCUGAUGCUCGAAAGUGUGGGUAUCAAACAGGAUUAGAUACCCUGGUAGUCCACACAGUAAA